UGGCAGGUACAGAGGGAUGCUACCGGGCGACCGGAUGCGGAUCUCGAAAGCCUGUCCCAGUUCGGACUGGAGUCUGCAACCCGACUCCACGAAGUUGGAUUCGCUAGUAAUCGCGCAUCAGCCAUGGCGCGGUGAAUACGUUCCCGGGCCUUGUACACACCGCCCGUCAAGCCAUGGGAGCCGGGGGCGCCUGAAGUCCGGGGCCGCGAGGACCGGCCUAGGGCGAAACUGGUAACUGGGGCUAAGUCGUAACAAGGUAUC
RNAcentral lists this ribosomal RNA (261 nucleotides) under uncultured bacterium. RNAcentral describes it as "partial 16S ribosomal RNA". It matches the Rfam family "Bacterial small subunit ribosomal RNA", at positions 1231 to 1500 of the family's 1533-position model. The record is from RNAcentral.